CUGGCUCGCAGAACGGAUCGGAGCACCCCCACCAACCCAAAUCGCUUUAUUGUUCGGUUCGUGGUACGAGGUAAUUAGUACGUGUUCAUUUUGGGGAACAGAUCUCCAUCCAUCAUAUUUAGAUGAGUGAGAUGAAUAAAAGAGCAUCAGGGGAUCUCCAUGCAUAUGUAUGUAAUGUACCUUAAGGCAGUCUUGUUAUUUAGGUUUACGGCACCUGUGGCCUUUGGAACAAACAAGGACUAGAGUCAACAUGAACAAAAGAAAAUUUUCGGUCCACGGCGAGGGGGCUGAAGCAGAGGCGCAGCGGCUUUAGAAGAAGAUUCAGGAUAAAAUCCAGAAGUUGUUUUGAAACAUUAAAAAUAUUUAUAAAACAUGAUUAUACUAUACAUUAAUAGUUUUAAAUUUGGCUGGUCGGGACUCAGGAGAGCCAUCCUUGUGUUGAUAAAGUUGAAGGUGAAUUUUAGGGUGAUGCCAUGACUCAUAACAGAGCAAAAAUAACUAAAUGAGGGAAGAAAUAGAAGAACAACGGUGGCAAGGGAUGAGGGGUAGGUAGGAUCUGCGGGAGUCGGCCUGCGGAGAUGCGAAGAAGAUUAGGGAAGAGGUCAAGAGCAAUAUUAGGGUUGAAAUCGGAUACGGAUUGCAUACAAAUAUAUCUAUAUCUAUAUUUAUUUUAUUUGACGAAUACAGAGAUGAAUAUGAAUGUUAGUUAGAUGCAAAAAUUUACAUCUAUGUUUAUUUUAAAUAGAUAUGAAUAUAAAUCGGAUACCGAUAGUAUCUAUAUAUAUGAGUCGAAUAAUUUAGCUUUAUGGCUACAUAAUUAAAGAUAUAAAUGAAGUUAAUAGCAUGUUAAUGUGGUCAUGUAUUUUUUUU
This 870-nucleotide long non-coding RNA is filed under the name Phoenix dactylifera (date palm). RNAcentral describes it as "long non-coding RNA (PDAC_LNC016382)". Lineage: Eukaryota; Viridiplantae; Streptophyta; Magnoliopsida; Arecales; Arecaceae. The record is from RNAcentral.